GACGAACGCUGGCGGCGUGCUUAACACAUGCAAGUCGAACGGUGAAGCGCCUUCCUUUUUGGUGGGUGUGGAGGAGUGGCGAACGGGGGAGUAACACGUGAGUAACCUGCUCCCUCCUUCUGGAUUACCGCAUGAAAGUGUGGCUAAUACAGGAUAUUCUGGGUCUGUCGCAUGAUGGGUCUGGGAAAGAUAUUGUUUCGGUGGGGGAUGGACUCGCGGCCUAUCAGCUUGUUGGUGUGGUGACGGCCUACCAAGGCGGUGACGGGUAGCCGGCCUGAGAGGGUGGGCGGCCCUGCUAGUGCGGCGAGGCGGAGCAGCCUCCUACAGGAGGCAGUAGGGAGGAAUACGGCACAAUGGGCGGAUGGAUGAAGCAGCGACGCGGCGGGAGGGAUGGUGGUCUGCUGGUUGUGCACCGCUUUUGGGAGUGAAGAAGUGUGUCAUUGUUUGUGCGUGGGUUGACGGUAGCUGGACAGGAAGCGCCGGCUAACUACGUG
Molecule: ribosomal RNA, 494 nt
Filed under: uncultured bacterium
Lineage: Bacteria
Description: partial 16S ribosomal RNA
Rfam family: Bacterial small subunit ribosomal RNA
Source: RNAcentral